Molecule: ribosomal RNA, 466 nt
Filed under: uncultured bacterium
Lineage: Bacteria
Description: partial 16S ribosomal RNA
Rfam family: Bacterial small subunit ribosomal RNA
Source: RNAcentral
GAUGAACGCUGGCGGCGUGCUUAACACAUGCAAGUCGAACGGAAAGGCUCCUGCUUGCAGGGGUACUCGAGUGGCGAACGGGUGAGUAACACGUGGGUGAUCUGCCCUGCACUUCGGGAUAAGCCUGGGAAACUGGGGCUAAUACCGGAUAGGACGAUGGUUUGGAUGCCAUUGUGGAAAGUUUUUUCGGUGUGGGAUGAGCUCGCGGCCUAUCAGCUUGUUGGUGGGGUAAUGGCCUACCAAGGCGUCGACGGGUAGCCGGCCUGAGAGGGUGUACGGCCACAUUGGGACUGAGAUACGGCCCAGACUCCUACGGGAGGCAGCAGUGGGGAAUAUUGCACAAUGGGCGCAAGCCUGAUGCAGCGACGCCGCGUGGGGGAUGACGGCCUUCGGGUUGUAAACUCCUUUCGCUAGGGACGAAGCGCAAGUGACGGUACCUGGAGAAGAAGCACCGGCUAACUACGUG